AGCAAUAUAGCUUAAGCUAGAGCUUUCUGUUUGCAAUUGAAAAGUGGGGGUAGCCCCUGUUGCUA
RNAcentral lists this transfer RNA (65 nucleotides) under Cryolaternula elliptica. RNAcentral describes it as "tRNA-Ala". It matches the Rfam family "tRNA". From Rfam's summary of the family: Transfer RNA (tRNA) molecules are approximately 80 nucleotides in length. The record is from RNAcentral. Lineage: Eukaryota; Metazoa; Mollusca; Bivalvia; Laternulidae.